This 71-nucleotide transfer RNA is filed under the name Mus musculus (house mouse). RNAcentral describes it as "tRNA-Ala". The record is from RNAcentral. Lineage: Eukaryota; Metazoa; Chordata; Mammalia; Rodentia; Muridae.
GGAGAGAUGGCUCAGUGGUUAAGAGCACUGACUGCUUCCAGCGGUCCUGAGUUCAAUUCCCAGCAACUAUA